Molecule: ribosomal RNA, 451 nt
Filed under: uncultured bacterium
Lineage: Bacteria
Description: SSU rRNA
Rfam family: Bacterial small subunit ribosomal RNA
Source: RNAcentral
AGGAUAAACGCUGGCGGCGUGCCUAACACAUGCAAGUCGAACGUCCUACGCAAGUAGGGAGUGGCGGACGGGUGAGUAACACGUGGGCAAUCUACCUUUCGGUGAGGAAUACCGGCGAGAAAUCGCCGACAAUACCGCAUACGCUUCGCAAGAAGCAAAGUCGCAAGACGCCGGAGGAGGAGCCUGCGCCCGAUUAGCUGGUUGGUGGAGUAAUGGUCUACCAAGGCGACGAUCGGUAGCUGGUCUGAGAGGAUGAUCAGCCACACUGGGAUUGAGAACGGCCCAGACUCCUACGGGAGGCAGCAGUGGGGAAUAUUGGACAAUGGGCGCAAGCCUGAUCCAGCCAUGCCGCGUGGAUGAUGAAGGCCCUAGGGUUGUAAAGUCCUUUGACGGGGAAGAUAAUGACGGUACCCGUAGAAGAAGCCCCGGCUAACUUCGUGCCAGCAGCCGC